AGCGAACGCUGGCGGCAGGCUUAACACAUGCAAGUCGAACGCGUGUAGCAAUACACGAGUGGCGCACGGGUGAGUAACGCGUGGGCAUCUGCCUCAUGGUUCGGAAUAACCCCGGGAAACUGGGGCUAAUACCGGAUGGUACCUUCGGGUUAAAGAUUUAUCGCCAUGAGAUGAGCCCGCGUCCGAUUAGCUAGUUGGUGAGGUAACGGCUCACCAAGGCGACGAUCGGUAGCUGGUCUGAGAGGACGAUCAGCCACACUGGGACUGAGA
This 270-nucleotide ribosomal RNA is filed under the name uncultured bacterium. RNAcentral describes it as "partial 16S ribosomal RNA". It matches the Rfam family "Bacterial small subunit ribosomal RNA", at positions 29 to 324 of the family's 1533-position model. The record is from RNAcentral.